AGAGCCCAAACCAACAAGCUUGCUUGUUGGGGUUGUAGGACACUCUAUACGGAGUUACAAAGGACGACAUUAGACGAAUCAUCUGGAAAGAUGAAUCAAAGAAGGUAAUAAUCCUGUAGUCGAAAAUGUUGUCUCUCUUGAGUGGAUCCUGAGUACGACGGAGCACGUGAAAUUCCGUCGGAAUCUGGGAGGACCAUCUCCUAAGGCUAAAUACUCUCUAGUGACCGAUAGUGAACCAGUACCGUGAGGGAAAGGUGAAAAGCACCCCGGAAGGGGAGUGAAAUAGAACCUGAAACCGUGUGCUUACAAGUAGUCAGAGCCCGUUAAUGGGUGAUGGCGUGCCUUUUGUAGAAUGAACCGGCGAGUUACGAUUUGAUGCAAGGUUAAGCAGUAAAUGUGGAGCCGUAGCGAAAGCGAGUCUGAAUAGGGCGUUUAGUAUUUGGUCGUAGACCCGAAACCAGGUGAUCUACCCUUGGUCAGGUUGAAGUUCAGGUAACACUGAAUGGAGGACCGAACCGACUUACGUUGAAAAGUGAGCGGAUGAACUGAGGGUAGCGGAGAAAUUCCAAUCGAACCUGGAGAUAGCUGGUUCUCUCCGAAAUAGCUUUAGGGCUAGCCUCAAGUGAUGAUUAUUGGAGGUAGAGCACUGUUUGGACGAGGGGCCCCUCUCGGGUUACCGAAUUCAGACAAACUCCGAAUGCCAAUUAAUUUAACUUGGGAGUCAGAACAUGGGUGAUAAGGUCCGUGUUCGAAAGGGAAACAGCCCAGACCACCAGCUAAGGUCCCAAAAUAUAUGUUAAGUGGAAAAGGAUGUGGCGUUGCCCAGACAACUAGGAUGUUGGCUUAGAAGCAGCCAUCAUUUAAAGAGUGCGUAAUAGCUCACUAGUCGAGUGACACUGCGCCGAAAAUGUACCGGGGCUAAACAUAUUACCGAAGCUGUGGAUUGUCCUUUGGACAAUGGUAGGAGAGCGUUCUAAGGGCGUUGAAGCAUGAUCGUAAGGACAUGUGGAGCGCUUAGAAGUGAGAAUGCCGGUGUGAGUAGCGAAAGACGGGUGAGAAUCCCGUCCACCGAUUGACUAAGGUUUCCAGAGGAAGGCUCGUCCGCUCUGGGUUAGUCGGGUCCUAAGCUGAGGCCGACAGGCGUAGGCGAUGGAUAACAGGUUGAUAUUCCUGUACCACCUAUAAUCGUUUUAAUCGAUGGGGGGACGCAGUAGGAUAGGCGAAGCGUGCGAUUGGAUUGCACGUCUAAGCAGUAAGGCUGAGUAUUAGGCAAAUCCGGUACUCGUUAAGGC
This 1292-nucleotide ribosomal RNA is filed under the name Staphylococcus aureus. RNAcentral's name for it is "partial 23S ribosomal RNA". It matches the Rfam family "Bacterial large subunit ribosomal RNA", at positions 264 to 1556 of the family's 2925-position model. The record is from RNAcentral. Lineage: Bacteria; Bacillati; Bacillota; Bacilli; Caryophanales; Staphylococcaceae.